RNAcentral lists this long non-coding RNA (227 nucleotides) under Panax ginseng (ginseng). RNAcentral describes it as "long non-coding RNA (PGIN_LNC004096)". The record is from RNAcentral. Lineage: Eukaryota; Viridiplantae; Streptophyta; Magnoliopsida; Apiales; Araliaceae.
AAUUAAGAUAAUCCCAAUAAACAUGUUUUUGUAAGACCAUAUUCGGUAUUCGGAGAAUUGUCAAAAAAUAUUCAUAUUUAGUAUAUAAAAAUUAUGUCCAAAUGCGAAACAUAUUCGAACCUGUGACCUAUCUUUUGGAACUUUGGUCAUUUGACCGCUAGAGCAACACAAGUUAUUUGUUAAUAUCUUACAAGGAUUAAUAUUUAUAUCAAAACAUGAGAUUUCCC